UGGGGCCAUAGCUCAGCUGGCAGAGCGCCGGUUUUGCAUACCGGAGGUCAGGGGUUCGACUCCCCUUGGCUCCACCCA
RNAcentral lists this transfer RNA (78 nucleotides) under Nocardiopsis dassonvillei. RNAcentral's name for it is "tRNA-Ala(tgc)". It matches the Rfam family "tRNA". From Rfam's summary of the family: Transfer RNA (tRNA) molecules are approximately 80 nucleotides in length. Their secondary structure includes four short double-helical elements and three loops (D, anti-codon, and T loops). The record is from RNAcentral. Lineage: Bacteria; Bacillati; Actinomycetota; Actinomycetes; Streptosporangiales; Nocardiopsidaceae.